UACGGAGGAUCCGAGCGUUAUCCGGAUUUAUUGGGUUUAAAGGGAGCGUAGGUGGACUGGUAAGUCAGUUGUGAAAGUUUGCGGCUCAACCGUAAAAUUGCAGUUGAUACUGUCAGUCUUGAGUACAGUAGAGGUGGGCGGAAUUCGUGGUGUAGCGGUGAAAUGCUUAGAUAUCACGAAGAACUCCGAUUGCGAAGGCAGCUCACUGGACUGCAACUGACACUGAUGCUCGAAGGCCAGGGGAGCGAAAGGG
RNAcentral lists this ribosomal RNA (253 nucleotides) under uncultured bacterium. Its description in RNAcentral is "partial 16S ribosomal RNA". It matches the Rfam family "Bacterial small subunit ribosomal RNA", at positions 524 to 776 of the family's 1533-position model. The record is from RNAcentral.